CUCCUUCUACUAAACCGAUGAUUGAACAGGAUCGUGAGAUCGAUUGAAUUAUUGAUGAACUCACCAAAUUUGAUAAUGAAGAGGAGGAUGUACCACUCAAUUUACUUAAAAGGCCGAUGCGUUAUAAGAUAAGUGCACAAAACACCACUUACCGCAAUUAAAGUACCACCAUUCAGUUCCAAGCUUUGGAAGUUUUUCUUCCAUUAUUAGAUCUCAUUAUGUUCAUAUAUAUGUUAUUGCAUUCUUGGUUCAUGUAACACCCCUUACCCGUGUCCGAUGCUAGAAUAGGGUACGAGGCAUUACCAGACUUAAUCGUUCA
Molecule: long non-coding RNA, 319 nt
Filed under: Gossypium barbadense (sea-island cotton)
Lineage: Eukaryota; Viridiplantae; Streptophyta; Magnoliopsida; Malvales; Malvaceae
Description: long non-coding RNA (GBAR_LNC007297)
Source: RNAcentral